Long non-coding RNA from Sinocyclocheilus grahami, 499 nucleotides. RefSeq lists it as uncharacterized. Lineage: Eukaryota; Metazoa; Chordata; Actinopteri; Cypriniformes; Cyprinidae. The record is from RefSeq and is a predicted model, not a curated record. The transcript is spliced from 3 exons.
UAACUCUCCAUUCUCUCUUUUUCUCCUGCACAUAUAACCACAGGAGCGCACGGAGCAGGCACACAUACACUCACUCCAACGCCAUAGAACCAUGUCAGACUCAGAGACUGCAGCUCCUGCCGAGACCCCUGUCCCAGCACCCUGUGUGGCCAUCAAGGCAGAUUUAGACAAAUGUGUAAAGGAGAAUGGUGAGGAAGCGUGUAAGGAGCUAAUGGAGGUGUUUGCCGCCUGUGUGAAGAGCAAUGCUGAGGCAUCAUGAGCAGUUCAACAUGCAGGAAAAGGGUUUACUGCACUGAGUCCUCCACCUUCCCAGCAUUCCCUGCAGCUCGUGGCACUGGACUAAAUGAUGGGGUUUGGGGCAGCAAAGACCAUAUUUGUGUCUCUUUCCUUCUCUACCUCCCCCCACCACCGUGAACCUCAAAUGGAUUUCUCCAACCACCAACCUCCCCUCCCCUUUUGUACUGAUCUGAUGUGUAGACAGUUUGAGAGUUGAUGUAAA